RNAcentral lists this ribosomal RNA (96 nucleotides) under Pediculus humanus corporis (human body louse). The record is from RNAcentral. Lineage: Eukaryota; Metazoa; Arthropoda; Insecta; Psocodea; Pediculidae.
GCCAACGGCCAUAGCGUGCUGGUCACACCGGUUCCCGUACGAUCACCGAAGUUAAGCAGCAUCGGGUGGUGCAACUUGGAUGGGUGACCGUUAUAA